GAACCAACAGGGAUUGCCUCAGUAACGGCGAGUGAAGCGGCAACAGCUCAAAUUUGAAAUCUGGCCCCCUCGGGGUCCGAGUUGUAAUUUGUAGAAGAUGCUUCGGGUGCGGCCCCGGUCUAAGUUCCUUGGAACAGGACGUCACAGAGGGUGAGAAUCCCGUACGUGCCCGGUGGUCGCCCCCAUGUGAAGCUCUUUCGACGAGUCGAGUUGUUUGGGAAUGCAGCUCAAAAUGGGUGGUAAAUUUCAUCUAAAGCUAAAUAUUGGCCAGAGACCGAUAGCGCACAAGUAGAGUGAUCGAAAGAUGAAAAGCACUUUGGAAAGAGAGUUAAACAGUACGUGAAAUUGUUGAAAGGGAAGCGCUUGCAACCAGACUUGCGCGUGGCCGAUCAUCCGGUGUUCGCACCGGUGCACUCGACCGCGCGCAGGCCAGCAUCGGUUUGGGUGGCUGGAUAAAGGCCUCGGGAAUGUGGCUCCCCUCGGGGAGUGUUAUAGCCCGAGGUGCAAUGCAGCCUACCCGGACCGAGGACCGCGCUUCGGCUAGGAUGCUGGCGUAAUGGUUGUAAGCGACCCGUC
This 576-nucleotide ribosomal RNA is filed under the name Oidiodendron setiferum. Its description in RNAcentral is "partial 28S ribosomal RNA". It matches the Rfam family "Eukaryotic large subunit ribosomal RNA", at positions 56 to 653 of the family's 3401-position model. The record is from RNAcentral. Lineage: Eukaryota; Fungi; Ascomycota; Leotiomycetes; Myxotrichaceae.